UCCCUGGUGGCUCAGCGGUAAAGAGUCUGCCUGCAGUGCAGGAGAUGCGGGUUCGAUUCCUGGCUUGGGAA
Molecule: transfer RNA, 71 nt
Filed under: Ovis aries (sheep)
Lineage: Eukaryota; Metazoa; Chordata; Mammalia; Artiodactyla; Bovidae
Rfam family: tRNA
About the family: Transfer RNA (tRNA) molecules are approximately 80 nucleotides in length.
Source: Rfam by way of RNAcentral